This 469-nucleotide long non-coding RNA is filed under the name Hordeum vulgare. RNAcentral's name for it is "long non-coding RNA (HVUL_LNC000110)". Lineage: Eukaryota; Viridiplantae; Streptophyta; Magnoliopsida; Poales; Poaceae. The record is from RNAcentral.
GGCACGAAAACCAUCGAGUCCCGGCCACAGCGACAGACAUCGAUCGAUCGUCGUCGCCAACUCGUCAUGGGCAGCGAAUCGUCGUGGUCGUCGUCUUCUUCUCCUGAGCAGAUGAUCGACGGGGCAGUCAAGGCUUUCAUGUGCCUCCCCGGAUGCAGGGAUCAGUUCGAAGCCGUGCUGGACGCGUUCCAGGAGGUCGACGGAUCUACGGAGAAGCAAGCGGCGUGCUUCGAGGCGGGGGAGGCGCUGCGAAAGUGCAUGCUUGCUAGCGCCGCCGCGUACGAGUCCUACAUCCGCGACGCCGACAAAAAGACAUCGAGCCAAGCAUAGCCCCUAUAUUUACAUCUUAAUUAGCAGCAAAAGUGAUCUACCGAGCCUUCUUAGAUUCCACAAAGAAAAGCUCUAUUAUGCAUGUCUUACGUUGAUUAAUUAUUAAGUACUAGUGUGUUUACAUUUAGCACGUUUUUNN